CGAGUAUGCAGGCCCAAUACUCAAUAGCUCGAUCCGAUCCAAGCACAUGAGUUGACUGCGGCGCCAGGUUAACCGAUGUGCUAAGAGAGUUGUUCCUGGGCCUUCAAAGUGACUUCAAAACUAUCUUAGCGAAUGGUGGCCAUGGGCGUAGACAUGAGCCACAAGUCACAAGGCCUGGGACUAUUGGGUAAUAAAGACAACUUAGUCAGAAAGUUAGUCUUUGGAC
Anopheles funestus (African malaria mosquito) is the source of this 226-nucleotide long non-coding RNA. RefSeq lists it as uncharacterized. NCBI's taxonomy places the organism in Eukaryota, Metazoa, Arthropoda, Insecta, Diptera, Culicidae. The record is from RefSeq and is a predicted model, not a curated record. The transcript has 2 exons.